AUGACACCCCGCUUGUAUUUUCACUUUUCUCUUUCUAAAACACAUAAUGCAUCGCCUCCUAUAUCGGCCGAGUACUCGGCUUCUUUUUGGAUUGUAUCCUGCCCACCUGCCCCUUCCCCUGUCUUUUAUGUGAAGCGCAUACUGGCGACACCGUACAACCAUGCUGCGCCACCGUCGCCAUCCUCGUCCUCAACCGAAGCAUGUCGCCGCGACCCAAGCUUGCUACCAGUUGCCGCCGCCGACUAUCCUUCAUCCCACGGGCCGAGGGAGCAGCCGCCACCAUCUCUGCUUCAUCACCCAGGAUGA
Molecule: ribosomal RNA, 306 nt
Filed under: Triticum aestivum (bread wheat)
Lineage: Eukaryota; Viridiplantae; Streptophyta; Magnoliopsida; Poales; Poaceae
Description: partial small subunit ribosomal RNA
Source: RNAcentral